Molecule: long non-coding RNA, 1263 nt
Filed under: Struthio camelus australis
Lineage: Eukaryota; Metazoa; Chordata; Aves; Struthioniformes; Struthionidae
Description: lncRNA (ENSSCUG00000001278.1)
Source: RNAcentral
GCUAUUUGUCUUCCAGCAGUUCUUUUCUCAUCAGAUUCAGGAAGAAAAUGAGUUUUCAGAGCUUUCUACUGUUGCUUUAAAACUUAAUUCACUCCUAUGCAAAGUAAGCCAGGCAGAGUGAGCCACGACGUGUUUUUUUAUUUUCUUUCUUUCUGCGUAUCUGGCACCACUUUCUCUUGUAAGCUUGCUCUUAAAUGGAGACAGUGCAUCCAAGGAACGGAGGGACAAUGUGACUUUCUGCAGGUGGUUAUACGAAGUUAUACGAAGAGCAGAAAUGAAAAGUGUGUCUUCCAAGACACAGGCCAACAUACUGAAUGUGUUCAUCCUUCCUCCUGUGUCCCCUGCGUGCUCCACGCUGUACUUGUCUGCAGUAUUAGCCUGCAAAGUUGCAGAGCGUUUCACACACGCAGCACUAAGGUAUCUAACAGUGUCUACUGCCGAGAAACACCUGCAUUAACCUUAACUAUCGACAUGCCAGCCAGAAAUAGCAGCUGGUGGGAUCACCUCUCUCAUGAAAGCUGCUGACCAGCUCUGGGUGCCGCUCCAGGCCACUUGGGUGUGUUCUUCAGGAAGAUCCCAGCUCACCGCAGAUGAGGCUGCCAGCUCGUGUCCUCUCCGAGACCCUUUGCGCUAGCAGAAGAUGUUGGGUCCCAUCAGCCAUCCCUGGGUCACCUAUCGUCUUAGAGGCAUCUCCCUCCCCUCCCUGGUGCUUCUGGCUUGCACGCUUGCGCCGUCCAUUAGCCGAAAUGAGCUAGCUCAAACCGGGUAAGUAGUAGAUCGGUGCUAACCCGUGUCACAUUGGCUGAAAGACCAACCACCAGAGCCGUGUCUGCUAGCCAGCAGGAGGAGGACAUUUCAUGGGGUAGGUGACAGCGGCGAGGGAAGGCACUUUCUCUCCCUUCCAGGUAGAUUUUGCUGGUGGGGAGGAGGCAUUUUUGCCUGGUCGACAUCCGGCCUCUGCCUCAAAGACAGCAGCAUGAGAGCACAUGAGCCAGCAUGUGACCUCCGGGGCAUGGAGAGCCUGUUUAACAGAGAAUUUCUGAAGAAAAGGGUAGUGCAGCCAGGAGUGGGUGUAAAUGUUACUGCGGCAUCUACGUGCCCAAUAAUUCUUAAUAAUGGGAGGUUUGCAACAUCUCAUGUGGCAAGGAGGUGCUGCAACUAAAAGGCUUAUUUCAUCUCUCCUAAAAAUCAGAGCUGCUAUGUGAGGCAGUGAAUGAACAGAACUGGUGGAAAGAGAAGAGAAGAGAAGAGAAGGGAAGGGAA